AACAAGGCGUACCUGCGGACCUGCGGAGGGAUCAUUAACGAGCGUAACCUACCCUUUUAAAAAAUGGGUGGUACCUCCCGUCCUUUGCGGGCCCCCUUCUUUUAUUAAGGGGGGGGCUUUUAAGACUUUCUGCUUCGGCGGGGUUAUUCCCGCCGGAACACCUUCAAAAAACUCUUGAUCAAAAAACUGUUCAGUCCGAGAAUUUUUGAAAAUUAAAACAAAACUUUUAACAAUGGAUCU
Molecule: unclassified non-coding RNA, 240 nt
Filed under: soil metagenome
Description: partial contains 5.8S ribosomal RNA, internal transcribed spacer 2, and large subunit ribosomal RNA
Source: RNAcentral